This 686-nucleotide long non-coding RNA is filed under the name Selaginella moellendorffii. Its description in RNAcentral is "long non-coding RNA (SMOE_LNC000793)". The record is from RNAcentral. Lineage: Eukaryota; Viridiplantae; Streptophyta; Lycopodiopsida; Selaginellales; Selaginellaceae.
AACAAGCGCGCUCUCUGUCUUUUUCGCUCUCUCUGGCUUGUUUCAGAUGUACUUGGUGUAAUAAGGUGCCCACUCGCGCCGCGGUGGAUCGGCGCGUCCUGCCACAGUGAUCGAGUUUUGCGUUUCAUCCUUGACAACAGAUUCAACACCUGAAUUUGGAGCGAUUCAUCAACGGAGAAGAUGCUACGUACGUACUCUCUAAUUUGUUGAGAACUCUUUUCAGCCUCUGUUCCCAGCCUGCAAUGCACAGCAAUGUUACCUUGACUUCCAUCUCGCCCAGAUGUUUGGAACGAGUGCUUGGUGGAGCUCUUUCCAUUCUGUAGUAGCAAAAGAGUGUGCCCCCAUCAUCCUUCUAAAAAGAUAACUCCACCAACGUUCUCGCUGGAUUUCCUUUUAGUUGGUCGGUCUUUCGCAGGGCACCGACAAAUCGAAAAAAGAGAAUAAGAAUCCACUUAUUAAAGUUUAUUGUUUUGAAAGGUGUUCAAGUUUCUAUGGUUUGGAUGACUUGCUGGAAGCAAGACCUGGAGCAAGCCGAGAUGGUCCCUCAAAGGCAUGCUGUAGAGAGUCUAAGUUGCCGUGCAUGCUCACCAGCGCACAGAUGGAUCAAAGCUCCAUCUCUCAGCUGAUUAUGCCUUCCCAAAUAAGGAUAUCUCCCCGACUGGAGCUUUCAUUUAACAAGAAGCUAA